This is a long non-coding RNA of Myotis brandtii (Brandt's bat), 1294 nucleotides long. RefSeq lists it as uncharacterized. The record is from RefSeq and is a predicted model, not a curated record. The transcript is spliced from 6 exons. Lineage: Eukaryota; Metazoa; Chordata; Mammalia; Chiroptera; Vespertilionidae.
AUGGGGAGCCACUGAAGGAUUUUCACCCAAACAGGGACACCUGUGUUUCCAAAAGAUGUUGGAAGGAGCCAGAAUGUAUGUGUCCAGAGGAGAUGAGCAGGCUAUGGAGCAUUUUCAAAAAUCACUGGAAUCAUUUGUUCUUUAAAGGACUUAAUGUCUUAAGGAAAGCUCCCUGCUCUUUCUAUGUGCUCUGCUGUGCCCAACAUUUAAAGUCUGGAAAAGCUAAGGAGAGGGAGCAGGGUCAGGAGGCUGUCACAGGAAAAGGGCUUUUAGAGAAAUGACAGUCCCUUGCUGCUGCGUUUAAUUGGAAAGGAGCUCAGAGACCUGAGAUUAUAAUUAUGACAUCUUAAAUGUUAAGCUCUUCAAAAGUCUGCCAUUGCCCUCACUGUCACCCUGAACACAUCUGGAAACCCAAACCCUGCAGCACCCCAGAGCAUGCACUGGGUCUCAGCCAGGCUUCACCUGGGAAAUCUGAGUGAGUGCCGUGCAGGCAGCAGGAAGAUACACAAUAAACCGAAGAGCCUAUGAUGAGCUCAGAGGAGUCUAGGAAUCUCACCUCCUCACCUUGGCUGUGAGGUCUUCUGAGGCAAGAAUGAUGCCUGUUCUUUCUUGGGCAUGUCCUCCCAGCCUGGCCAGCCAGAAGCCUGGACACCUAAGAGCUGCUGGCCUUUCCUUGAACUCUGAGGGCUUCUGUGGAACAGAGAGGUUUAUUUACCCCAUUUUCUAGUGAUGGACAUUCAAGCUGUUUCCAGUUUUUCACUGUUACAGUGAUGUACUAACAUUCUUAAACCUUCUUGUGCCAUAUCAGAGGGUCUCUCUACAGAGAUUCCUGGAAGUAGACUGCACGCUCUCAUCUCCCCCUUCAACUUGGGGAACUUCAGGGCUCACUCUCACCCACGGGCAGCGUACUAGUAUCUAUUCUUGUACAAAGGGCAGUUCCCUCUUCAGGAAACACCGAGGACCAGCUCUUAGCACUGUGUUCUAUACCCCACUGCACUGCUAUGGACCUCGCAGACAUCACCGUCUCCCUGGAACAUCCUCACCCUCCAUCUCACCUGAACUGCGUCUAUAUGCAGGUCCAUCAGUGGCCUUCUCAAGAAACUCCCUAACUGUACCACCACAGCUCCCAAGAUGACUUGUUUUACCUUGACUACCUUCAUAUGCUUACGGAAUUAUCUUCCUAAAUGGGCCUAAGUCCCUUGAAGACAAAUCUGCCCUAAGAUAGAGCCUUGUUUGUGUAGGUGCUUGUUAAAUGUGUGCUAUUCUAUAUAUAAAAGCCUAAUAUGCAAAUUGU